GUUGAGUUAUGUGACAGGCUUCUGUAAAACUGCGUGUAGUGAAUAGUCCGUAAAAGGAGUAGACAGACUUCUAUGACCACUCCUUUCCUUUCUGACCUCCUUCCACAAAGAAUAAUCCCUAAUCUCAUAUAAUCCGCACUGUUGGUUGUAGAGAGAGCCGACUGCCAUUCACUGCGAGUUUAGCAUGACAUCAUAUACAAAGAGCGAGAUGGACAAUUAUCAAGCAUACGAAAAUCUACAACACAAUCAGCGAAGGAGGAUGCAGCUCCAGAACGAUCUUCAGUCACAACAAAGAAGUCAUCGCCUUAGCAGGGCUGCCUGGCUGCAGGGCCGCUGGUUGGAGAUCAGUGAGCAGGAACGCAGAGCUCAUAUUCAUAACUAAAAACUCCUGCAGGACUUUCAGAGAGCAGAAGACACACUCAGCGACAUGGUGGCCCGUACCGAAGCCAUGAACAUCAUACGGGUCAGCAACCAUAUGACUUCUGCUAUUUAUAAUGUAAAACAGCAGCACUGUGGGAAUAAUAUGUUCUAAAAUGCCUUUAGUGCAGCAUUACUGUUAAAGUGUGUCUUCCUUGGAGAAUUCACACAUACCCUUAAAGUCAGCAUCAGGCAGGCUUUUUCUAUAUAUUUGCAGCCUAAAAUGACUGGUUUUAUUUGCUUCAAUUCUUGUGUUUUUCAGCAAAAAUAUUCCCAAAUCUUGAAGAGACAGGUCAGGUUUAGGAAGGUUACUUUUACUGAAUGUAUUUCACUGCAGAUUACAAAAUCACAAAUGCUUUGCAGGUGUGACUGUAAGAUGAUUCCCUAUUUAAAAUGUAACUAAUGUGAUGAAAUAAAGAUGGUCAUGUUUUAUUAUGAUCAAGUUACAUGCAUACGGUUGUUUCCCAACCCUGGUCAGCAUAAGUCACACACAAUUGCAGCAAAUAUCAAUGGUCAACAAUGAAAUAAAUUGACUUUUUUUGUUAAUUUUCUAGAAACUAUUUCACUGAGUCACAAAAGUGAAUUCCAUCUCAAUUUCCCUUUCAUAUGCAGCCUUUAUCUAAGGGAUAAUCAGUUGUUCUCAUAAAAUAAAACCCAAUAGGCGUUUUAGACUUGUUGUAAAAUACAAGGGCUUAAUUCGGUGAAAACAACCACCCAGGUAGCAAAGAAUUCUGGCCCAUAUUUGGCAUAAAUCUGGC
Non-coding RNA from Danio rerio (zebrafish), 1175 nucleotides. The record is from RefSeq and is a predicted model, not a curated record. Lineage: Eukaryota; Metazoa; Chordata; Actinopteri; Cypriniformes; Danionidae.